AGAGUUUGAUCAUGGCUCAGAUUGAACGCUGGCGGCAGGCUUAACACAUGCAAGUCGAGCGGGGACUUCGGUCCUAGCGGCGAACGGGUGAGGAAUGCUUGGGAAUCUGCCCAGUAGUGGGGGAUAACGUUUCGAAAGGAACGCUAAUACCGCAUACGUCCUACGGGAGAAAGGGGGGGAUCUUCGGACCUCUCGCUAUUGGAUGAGCCCAAGUCGGAUUAGCUAGUUGGUGGGGUAAAGGCCUACCAAGGCGACGAUCCGUAGCUGGUCUGAGAGGAUGAUCAGCCACACUGGAACUGAGACACGGUCCAGACUCCUACGGGAGGCAGCAGUGGGGAAUAUUGGACAAUGGGCGAAAGCCUGAUCCAGCCAUGCCGCGUGUGUGAAGAAGGCCUUCGGGUUGUAAAGCACUUUAAGUGGGGAGGAAUGGCCCUUGGUUAAUAACCUUGAGCAGUGACGUUACCCACAGAAUAAGCACCGGCUAACUCUGUGCCAGCCGCCGCGGUAAUAC
RNAcentral lists this ribosomal RNA (511 nucleotides) under uncultured bacterium. RNAcentral's name for it is "bacterial SSU rRNA". It matches the Rfam family "Bacterial small subunit ribosomal RNA", at positions 8 to 526 of the family's 1533-position model. The record is from RNAcentral.